Molecule: transfer RNA, 92 nt
Filed under: Deefgea sp. CFH1-16
Lineage: Bacteria; Pseudomonadati; Pseudomonadota; Betaproteobacteria; Neisseriales; Chitinibacteraceae
Also listed under: 2 other names
Description: tRNA-Ser
Rfam family: tRNA
About the family: Transfer RNA (tRNA) molecules are approximately 80 nucleotides in length. Their secondary structure includes four short double-helical elements and three loops (D, anti-codon, and T loops).
Source: RNAcentral
GGAGAUGUGGAUGAGUGGCUGAAAUCACCGCCCUGCUAAGGCGACAUACGGGGUAACCUGUAUCGAGGGUUCGAAUCCCUCCGUCUCCGCCA